This 2456-nucleotide ribosomal RNA is filed under the name human gut metagenome. RNAcentral describes it as "bacterial LSU rRNA". It matches the Rfam family "Bacterial large subunit ribosomal RNA", at positions 14 to 2546 of the family's 2925-position model. The record is from RNAcentral.
AGGGCGUACGGUGAAUGCCUUGGUGCCAACAGGCGAAGAAGGACGCGGCAAGCUGCGAAAAGCCUCGGGAAGCUGCAAGCAAGCGAUGAUCCGGGGAUAUCCGAAUGGGGUAACCUGAUCGAGGCAAUACUCGAUCGUUCAUACCUGAAUACAUAGGGUAUGAAACGCGAAACCCGCUGAAGUGAAACAUCUCAGUAAGCGGAGGAAAAGAAAGAGAAAUCGAUUCCGUAAGUAGUGGCGAGCGAAAGCGGAUGGAGCCCAAACCGAAGGUAUUCCUUCGGGGUUGUAGGACCACGUCAUAUUCGACCAUACUGGAUAGUAGAACAGCCUGGAAAGGCUGGCCGGAGAAGGUGAAAGCCCUGUAGACGAAAUCCAGAGUGGGAAUUAGUGGUAUCCUGAGUAAUACAUCACACGUGGAACGAUGUAUGAACCCGCGCGGACCACCGCGCAAGGCUAAAUACUAGUUGGCGACCGAUAGUGAACAAGUACCGCGAGGGAAAGGUGAAAAGAACCGCUGUGAGCGGAGUGAAAUAGAACCUGAAACCGUAUGUCUACAAAGUGUCAGAGCAGAGCAAUCUGCGAUGGCGUGCCUUUUGUUUAAUGAGUCUGCGAGUCAGUGUUUGUGGCAAGACUAAGGGCUUCCGGCCCGGAGUCGCAGCGAAAGCAAGUCCGAACAGGGCGCAAUAAGUCGCAGGUACUGGACCCGAAGCGGAGGUGACCUACCCUUGGCCAGGUUGAAGCAUGGGUAAAACCAUGUGGAGGACCGAACAGGUGAACGUUGAAAAGUUCUCUGAUGAGCUGAGGGUAGGAGUGAAAGGCUAAUCAAACCCCGUGAUAGCUGGUUCUCUUCGAAAUGCAUUUAGGUGCAGCGUCACGUGCUGAUGCGCGGGGGUAGAGCACUGACAAGGCUAGGGGGCACACCCGCUUACCAAACCUUAUCAAACUCCGAAUACCGUGCAAUGGAACGUGGCAGUGAGACAGUGGGGGAUAAGCUUCAUUGUCGAGAGGGAAACAACCCAGACCAGCAGCUAAGGUGCCUAAAUAACGCUCAGUGGAAAGGAUGUGGGAUUACACAGACAGUGAGGAUGUUGGCUUAGAAGCAGCCACCAUUUAAAAAAUGCGUAAUAGCUUACUCAUCGAGUGAUCCUGCGCCGAAAAUGAUUGGCGAUCAAGCGUUAUACCGAAGCUCUGGACUUUGCCGCAAGGCAGAGUGGUAGAAGAGCGUUGCAUGCGCGUCGAAGGGCGAUGGCGACUGACCCUGGAGCACAUGCAAGUGAGUAUGCAGACAUGAGUAACGUUAAGCCGGGUGAAAUCCCCGGCCGCCGUAAACCCGAGGUUUCCAGGGCAACGUGUUUCGUCCCUGGGUUAGCCGGGACCUAAGCCGAGGCCGAGAGGCGUAGGCGAUGGACAUCAGGUUAAUAAUCCUGAGCUCGCAACCCUUAAACUGGGGGGACGCAUGAGAAAAGAUGACUAGGUUAUUGAAUUCCGAGUUGAGUCUACGGACUCAGCGCAUCAUUGGAUCGAGUGCCAAGAAAAGCCCCAGCGUAUGCUAAGCGACCCGUACCGCAAACCGACACAGGUGGGUGGGUAGAAUAUACCAAGGCGUAAGAGUGAAACCUGGUUAAGGAACUCGGCAAAUUAGCCCCGUAACUUCGGAAGAAGGGGUGCCUGCAGCGAUGCAGGCCGCAGAGAAAUGGCCCAACCGACUGUUUAUCAAAAACACAGCACUCUGCAAAGACGCAAGUCGAAGUAUAGGGUGUGACACGUGACCAAUGCCGAAAGAUUAAGGCAAGGGGUUAGCCGCAAGGCGAAGCUCUAAACCCAAGUCCCGGUGAAUGUCGGCCGUAACUAUAACGGUCCUAAGGUAGCGAAAUUCCUUGUCGGGUAAGUUCCGACCUGCACGAAUCGUGAAACGAGUUGGGCACUGUCUCAACCAGGCGCUCAGUGAAAUUGUAGUGGCGGUGAAGAUGCCGCCUACCCGCAGAAGGACGGAAAGACCCUAUAGACCUUAACUGUAAGCUGUCAUUGUUUCUUCGGUUUUAAUGCUCAGAGUAAGUGGGAGACGCUGAAGACGCCCUUUAGGGGGCGUCCGAGUCAUCAAUGAGACACCACCCUUUGAAACUGGAGGAUCUAACCCUGAGCCGUGAAUCCGGCCAGAGGACCGUGUCAGCCGGUCAGUUUUACUGGGGCGGUAUCCUCCCAAAGAGUAACGGAGGAGCGCGAAGGUGGGCUCAGCCCGGUUGGCAACCGGGUGUCGAGUGCAUGGGCAUAAGCCCGCCUAACUGUGAGACCAACAAGUCGAGCAGAUGCGAAAGCAGGCCCAAGUGAUCCGGCGGUAGAAAGUGGAAUUGCCGUCGCUCAACGGAUAAAAGGUACCUUAGGGAUAACAGGCUGAUCACGCCCAAGAGUUCAUAUCGACGGCGUGGUUUGGCACCUCGAUGUCGGCUCGUCGCAUC